GAUGAACGCUGGCGGCGUGCCUAACACAUGCAAGUCGAACGGAGAUGAUAAAAGCUUGCUUUGAUCAUCUUAGUGGCGGACGGGUGAGUAACACGUGAGCAACCUGCCUUUCAGAGGGGGAUAACGUUUGGAAACGAACGCUAAUACCGCAUAAUGUGAAUUUGUCGCAUGACAGACUUGUCAAAGGAGCAAUCUGCUUAAAGAUGGGCUCAUAUCUGAUUAGGUAGUUGGAGGGGUAACGGCUCACCAAGCCUACGAUCAGUAGCCGGACUGAGAGGUUGAACGGCCACAUUGGAACUGAGAUACGGUCCAG
This 313-nucleotide ribosomal RNA is filed under the name uncultured bacterium. Its description in RNAcentral is "bacterial SSU rRNA". It matches the Rfam family "Bacterial small subunit ribosomal RNA", at positions 28 to 334 of the family's 1533-position model. The record is from RNAcentral.